CCCUUAGAUGUCCUGGGCUGCACGCGCGCUACACUGAUGUGUCCAGUAAGCACCUAACCUCUUCCGAAAGGAACGGGUAACCUUUGCAAAGCACAUCGUGAUGGGGAUAGAUUAUUGCAAUUAUUAGUCUUGAACGAGGAAUUCCUAGUAAGCACAAGUCAUCAGCUUGUGUUGAUUACGUCCCUGCCCUUUGUACACACCGCCCGUCGCUCCUACCGAUUGAGUGCUCCGGUGAACAAUUUGGACUGCUUUGAUUCGAUUAGAAUUUGAAGCGGAAAGUUUAGUGAACCUUAUCACUUAGAGGAAGGAGAAGUCGUAACA
RNAcentral lists this ribosomal RNA (321 nucleotides) under uncultured eukaryote. RNAcentral describes it as "partial 18S ribosomal RNA". It matches the Rfam family "Eukaryotic small subunit ribosomal RNA", at positions 1470 to 1796 of the family's 1831-position model. The record is from RNAcentral.